CCUACGGGAGGCAGCAGUGAGGAAUAUUGGUCAAUGGGCGCGAGCCUGAACCAGCCAAGUAGCGUGAAGGAUGACUGCCCUACGGGUUGUAAACCUCUUUUAUAAAGGAAUAAAGUGAGGCACGUGUGCCGUUUUGUAUGUACUUUAUGAAUAAGGAUCGGCUAACUCCGUGCCAGCAGCCGCGGUAAUACGGAGGAUCCGAGCGUUAUCCGGAUUUAUUGGGUUUAAAGGGUGCGUAGACGGGAUGUUAAGUCAGGCGGGAAAGUUUGGGGCUCAACCGUAAAAUAGCAAUUGAUACUGGCAGUCUUGAGUACAGGUGAAGUAGGCGGAAUGCGUGGUGUAGCGGUGAAAUGCAUAGAUAUCACGAAGAACUCCGAUUGCGAAGGCAGCUUACUAAACUGCCACUGACAUUGAUGCUCGAAAGUGUGGGUAUCGAACAGGAUUAGAUACCCUAGUAGUC
Molecule: ribosomal RNA, 460 nt
Filed under: uncultured bacterium
Lineage: Bacteria
Description: partial 16S ribosomal RNA
Rfam family: Bacterial small subunit ribosomal RNA
Source: RNAcentral